This 396-nucleotide ribosomal RNA is filed under the name uncultured bacterium. RNAcentral describes it as "partial 16S ribosomal RNA". It matches the Rfam family "Bacterial small subunit ribosomal RNA", at positions 523 to 918 of the family's 1533-position model. The record is from RNAcentral.
AUACAGAGGGUGCAAGCGUUGAUCGGAUUUACUGGGCGUAAAGCGCACGUAGGUGGCUAAUUAAGUCAAAUGUGAAAUCCCCGAGCUUAACUUGGGAAUUGCAUUCGAUACUGGUUAGCUAGAGUAUGGGAGAGGAUGGUAGAAUUCCAGGUGUAGCGGUGAAAUGCGUAGAGAUCUGGAGGAAUACCGAUGGCGAAGGCAGCCAUCUGGCCUAAUACUGACACUGAGGUGCGAAAGCAUGGGGAGCAAACAGGAUUAGAUACCCUGGUAGUCCAUGCCGUAAACGAUGUCUACUAGCCGUUGGGGCCCUUGAGGCUUUAGUGGCGCAGCUAACGCGAUAAGUAGACCGCCUGGGGAGUACGGUCGCAAGACUAAAACUCAAAUGAAUUGACGGGG